This 492-nucleotide ribosomal RNA is filed under the name uncultured bacterium. Its description in RNAcentral is "partial 16S ribosomal RNA". It matches the Rfam family "Bacterial small subunit ribosomal RNA", at positions 28 to 507 of the family's 1533-position model. The record is from RNAcentral.
GAUGAACGCUCGCUACAGGCUUAACACAUGCAAGUCGAGGGGAAACGACAUCGAAAGCUUGCUUUUGAUGGGCGUCGACCGGCGCACGGGUGGGUAACGCGUAUCCAACCUGCCCACCACUUGGGGAUAACCUUGCGAAAGUAAGACUAAUACCCAAUGAUAUCCCACGAAGACAUCUGAAUGGGAUUAAAGAUUUAUCGGUGAUGGAUGGGGAUGCGUCUGAUUAGCUUGUUGGCGGGGUAACGGCCCACCAAGGCAACGAUCAGUAGGGGUUCUGAGAGGAAGGUCCCCCACAUUGGAACUGAGACACGGUCCAAACUCCUACGGGAGGCAGCAGUGAGGAAUAUUGGUCAAUGGGCGAGAGCCUGAACCAGCCAAGUAGCGUGCAGGAAGACGGCCCUAUGGGUGGUAAACUGCUUUUAUAAGGGAAUAAAGUGGGUCACGUGUGACUUUUUGCAUGUACCUUAUGAAUAAGGACCGGCUAAUUCCGUG